This 39-nucleotide non-coding RNA is filed under the name unclassified sequences. RNAcentral's name for it is "L31-Actinobacteria ribosomal protein leader". It matches the Rfam family "L31-Actinobacteria ribosomal protein leader". The record is from RNAcentral.
GUGGUACCGGUUCCCGUCCUUCGGGGCGACCCGGCGACC